GGCGGACGGGUGAGUAACACGUGGGCAACCUGCCCUACAGUUUGGGAUAACUCCGGGAAACCGGGGCUAAUACCGAAUAAUCCUUUGAAUCACAUGGUUCGAAGUUGAAAGGCGCUUCGGCGUCGCUGUAGGAUGGGCCCGCGGUGCAUUAGCUAGUUGGUGGGGUAACGGCCUACCAAGGCAACGAUGCAUAGCCGACCUGAGAGGGUGAUCGGCCACAUUGGGACUGAGACACGGCCCAA
Molecule: ribosomal RNA, 242 nt
Filed under: uncultured bacterium
Lineage: Bacteria
Description: partial 16S ribosomal RNA
Rfam family: Bacterial small subunit ribosomal RNA
Source: RNAcentral